CCAAUAGCGUAUAUUAAAGUUGCUGCAGUUAAAAAGCUCGUAGUUGAAUUUCGGGACUAAUAUGUCGGUCGUGCCUCGGUACGUACUGGUAUUUUUGGUUUCUCCCUUCUGACGAACCUUGAUGUCAUUAAUUUGGUGUCUUGGGAAAUCAGGACUGUUACUUUGAAAAAAUUAGAGUGUUUAAAGCAGGCUCACGCUUGAAUACAUUAGCAUGGAAUAAUGAAAUAGGACGUUUGAUUCUAUUUUGUUGGUUUCUAGGAUCGACGUAAUGAUUAAUAGGGAUAGUUGGGGGCAUUAGUAUUCAAUUGUCAGAGGUGAAAUUCUUGGAUUUAUUGAAGACUAACUACUGCGAAAGCAUUUGCCAAGGAUGUUUUCAUUAAUCAAGAACGAAAGUUAGGGGAUCAAAGACGAUCAGAUACCGUCGUAGUCUUAACCAUAAACUAUGCCGACUAGGGAUCGGAUGAUGUUAAUUUUUUAAUGACUCAUUCGGCGCCUUAC
Molecule: unclassified non-coding RNA, 498 nt
Filed under: uncultured Glomus
Lineage: Eukaryota; Fungi; Glomeromycota; Glomeromycetes; Glomerales; Glomeraceae
Description: SSU rRNA
Rfam family: Eukaryotic small subunit ribosomal RNA
Source: RNAcentral